GUGCCCUUAGCUCAGCAGGAUAGAGCGGCCGCCUCCUAAGCGGCAGGUCAUCGGUUCAAUUCCGAUAGGGCACA
RNAcentral lists this transfer RNA (74 nucleotides) under Lacticaseibacillus casei. RNAcentral describes it as "Lactobacillus casei tRNA-Arg". It matches the Rfam family "tRNA". Rfam says of the family: Transfer RNA (tRNA) molecules are approximately 80 nucleotides in length. Their secondary structure includes four short double-helical elements and three loops (D, anti-codon, and T loops). Lineage: Bacteria; Bacillati; Bacillota; Bacilli; Lactobacillales; Lactobacillaceae. The record is from RNAcentral. RNAcentral also lists the same sequence under 5 other names.